Non-coding RNA from Camelina sativa (false flax), 1417 nucleotides. The record is from RefSeq and is a predicted model, not a curated record. NCBI's taxonomy places the organism in Eukaryota, Viridiplantae, Streptophyta, Magnoliopsida, Brassicales, Brassicaceae.
AUCAUCAAAUUUCGAUUAACUUGGAUGCAGCGGUAGUCUCAAAAAGAUUUAGAUCUUCGUGAAAACCCUAACGGGAAGACCAUUACGCUAGAGGUCGAGUCAUCUGACACCAUCGACUAUGUGAAAGCGAAGAUCCAGGGAUCUCACCGGACCAGCAGCCUUUGAUUUUCGCCGGGAAGCAGCUCGAGGACGGCCGCAGUUCUUAUCAAAUAAAAAAAAAAGUUUCGAUAAACUUGAUUUGUGCAGUUGGUCUCGUCUGCUCUUCAAAGAUGUACAGAUCCUCCGAUUACGUCUAUUUCGAUCGCAGAUACGGGAUCGACGAAGCGGCUGCUACUCCUUUGCAGGCAGUGAAUAGGGGUGACUCUGACAGCGAAGUUAACACAACACGGAAACUCUUUUCUUUUCUCUCUAAUUUUAGUGUUUAGGUAUCCUUUUUUAUUUUAUUUUAACAAUUUUAGUUAUAUUCAACCUUCCUUUUGCUUUUUCUGAUCUCUCAAAUUCCAAACCUUCGGAAUCCAAACACAUUUUUUGAACCUCGCCACUCUCUCGUCUAGAUCGUUCUUCCUUCUUUUAGCCGUAGGAAGAAUGUCGAUGACAGAGGCAGUGACAAAGAUCCAUCCAUAGAUGAUAGAUUAGUUAGUGUUUUGUUUCCCUUUACAAUUGUCUCUAUAGGGUUUUGGAUGAUUUAGAUUUUAGACCUCUGUAAUGGGGAAUUGCUUUGGAUCUUCCCCCAAGAAUGAAGAUGUUAAUGUUGACGACUCCUCAGUGAACUCCAAACCCUUUUCACGUUUAUGCUUUGAUUGAGAGAGGAGUUUGAAGUAAUUUAGGUAACAAGAAGAGAACAAAAGUUUUAAUUUUUUUGGUUUGUUAUGGUGGGGGCGAUGGCAAACAAUGGAAGAAUCCGGUCAGCUUCUCCGGUGACUAAUGGGUCAAAAGAUCUGACUCCGAACAGCGCUCCGGCGAGCACAACGGGAUCUGAAUAUGGUCCUGUUGAGUUCACAAGAGAUUACGUUGAAACUCUUCUUAAUGAACGAAUCAAGUAAAAGAGCAAAUUCAACUACAAGGUGGUUUUUGGGUUUUGCAGGAGAGAUAUGAGAACAUAAUGGAAUAUAUAAAAAGGCUUAGACUUUGCAUUAGGUGGUUUCAAGAACUCGAGAUGGAUUAUGCUUUUGAGGAAGAGAAGUUGAAGAAUGCAUUGGAAUUGAAUGAGAAGCAUUGUGCUGACAUGGAUGUGUUUCCAUAAUUAAAGUUUAGCUGUUACUUUUUUUUGUUUCAAAUUUUUUUGUGAUUUUUGAACUUUAUAUUUGUGCAAUUUUGAUGACAGAGGUUAGUUUGAGAAACAAAGAAGAGGAGCUGAAUAUGAUAACUGAAGAGCUGAGGAAAAACUUUGAAUCUGUUCAAGUGCAACUUGCCAGGG